RNAcentral lists this microRNA (22 nucleotides) under Ornithorhynchus anatinus (platypus). Its description in RNAcentral is "oan-miR-139-3p". Its record names the gene oan-miR-139-3p. The record is from miRBase by way of RNAcentral. Lineage: Eukaryota; Metazoa; Chordata; Mammalia; Monotremata; Ornithorhynchidae.
UGGAGACACAGCUCUGUUGGAU